AGUUCCAAUAGCGUAUAUUAAAGUUGUUGCAGUUAAAAAGCUCGUAGUUGGAUUUCUGGCAGGAGCGACCGGUCACACACUCUGUGUGUGAACUUGUGUUGUCUCUGGCCAUCCUUGGGAAGAUCCUGUUUGGCAUUGAGUUGUCGGGCAGGGGAUAUCCAUCGUUUACUAUAAAAAAAUAGAGUGUUUAAACCAGGCUUAUGCCGUUGUAUAUUAGCAUGGAAUAAUAAGAUAGGACUUUGGAACUAUUUUGUAGGUUUGCGUUACGAAGUAAUUAUUAAUAGGGACAGUUGGGGGUAUUUGUAUUUCGUUGUCAGAGGUGAAAUUCUUGGAUUUCUGAAAGACGAACUAAGUACUGCGAAAGCAUUUACCAAGGAUGUUUUCA
This 385-nucleotide ribosomal RNA is filed under the name uncultured eukaryote. RNAcentral's name for it is "SSU rRNA". It matches the Rfam family "Eukaryotic small subunit ribosomal RNA", at positions 587 to 972 of the family's 1831-position model. The record is from RNAcentral.